AGUGAACGCUGGCGGUAGGCCUAACACAUGCAAGUCGAACGGCAGCACAGUAAGAGCUUGCUCUUACGGGUGGCGAGUGGCGGACGGGUGAGGAAUACAUCGGAAUCUACUUUUUCGUGGGGGAUAACGUAGGGAAACUUACGCUAAUACCGCAUACGACCUACGGGUGAAAGCAGGGGAUCUUCGGACCUUGCGCGAUUGAAUUAGCCGAUGUCGGAUUAGCUAGUUGGCGGGGUAAAUGCCCACCAAGGCGACGAUCCGUAGCUGGUCUGAGAGGAUGAUAAGCGACACUGGAACUGAGACACGGUCCAGACUACUACGGGAGGCAGCAGUGGGGAAUAGUGGACAAUGGGCGCAAGCCUGAUCCAGCCAUACCGCGUGGGUGAAGAAGGCCUUCGGGUUGUAAAGCCCUUUUGUUGGGAAAGAAAAGCAGCAGGUUAAUACCCCGCUGUUCUGACGGUACCCAAAGAAUAAGCACCGGCUAACUUCGUG
This 492-nucleotide ribosomal RNA is filed under the name uncultured bacterium. RNAcentral's name for it is "partial 16S ribosomal RNA". It matches the Rfam family "Bacterial small subunit ribosomal RNA", at positions 29 to 507 of the family's 1533-position model. The record is from RNAcentral.